RNAcentral lists this long non-coding RNA (1752 nucleotides) under Linum usitatissimum (flax). RNAcentral describes it as "long non-coding RNA (LUSI_LNC007359)". Lineage: Eukaryota; Viridiplantae; Streptophyta; Magnoliopsida; Malpighiales; Linaceae. The record is from RNAcentral.
UCACUACUGUCACCGUAGAGUGCAAGGAUCUGGAUGAGAAGGGGCGACGGCAAUGUGGCCACCGCUGCUGUGAAAGGAAGAAAGUCAGAGAAGAGGAGAAGGAGCGGGACAAGAAGAAGAGAAGGAGGAAGAUAAGAAGAGAAAAAGUGGGGCGAAGGGAAGAGAGGCAGAGAACAAGUGAUGAGUGGGGCAGUGGCAGCACCAGCGCCGCCGGCGAGAGGAAGUUGAGAGACUUGAGGAGAGACAGAGAGGGUCGGAGAUUAGGGUUUAGAGAGUUGUGAAUUUUGAAUUAAGAAGAGCUUUUAUAUGCCUAAGUUGGGUUAGGAUAAAAUUACGUCACUACACUUAAUUUCAGUUCAGUAGCUGUAAUUCCUUCAAGGGUUGCCCUCCUGGAUCGUAUUUCAAGUGAUCGAACCGAUUUCCUCACUCGACGACCCUAGUCUCGUUCACACGAUUCAGAUUUUCUGUUGGGCCCAACUUGAGCUUGAGCCCAAAUUAAUUCCAAUUCAACAUAAUUAAACCCAAUGGAAAUCCUUUAACAAAUUAAUAAACGAAUUGGGAUAAGUUUAAUUAGCUUAAUUAAUGUUACUGUUAAAAUCGUUUUCUAAUCUAAUAAUCAUCAAAACUAAAUGAUCCAAAUAACUCAUUUAAUCAGUAACAAUAUAACAAAAAUAAAGACUGUUCUCACUAAAUAAAAGUUUGGAGGAAAACAUGAUUAAAAGCGAUUAAAAUGACCAACUAUUGCUUAGUUUGACACCAUUUACAUCUUGAACCCAAAGACUAUAAAACGACCCAAAAUAUGACGUCAAAAUCGAGAAAAUAUGGGGUUCUUUGUUCAAAACAGGUUUCUGGAAUUUCAUUAAAACAUGCAAAAUAAUCGAAGUUUUCAACAAAUAAACUACAACGAUUGUACUAAAAUUAAUAAGUCAUUUUGAUCUACAUUUGUGUCUUUAUGUCUAGGAAUGGGUAAUUAUAGCUUGACUUUAUCUAAUUCUGUCCUCCGGUUAAAAAAUUGAAGUAAUUUCAGACACUGUUUUACCUUCCUGAGUAGAGUUUUUCCUCUACUCAAACUUUCUCGAGCAAAGUUAGGUUCGCGCUCUCUGCACCUGAAGUCAAAAUAAAAAUCUAUUUUCUUUGUGUUAACCGACAAAAGUGGAUCUCUUUAAAAUAGGAAUAAGUGUGUUUCACCUCGUUUCGGUCCCAUCGUCGGCAUGCCUUGCAGUGAGGGUCGAGCCAUCGUCCGUGCAUCCUUCUUUUUUCCUCUUUAGUCAACGGCCCCAAAGAAAAUCGAAGUAAAAAAGCUAAAACGAUCAGUAAUUAAAAAUAAAUGGAAGAAGCUUGUACAACCCAGAAUUUCGUAGAUCGGUGUUGCAUGUCAGUGGAGGACUCGCCGGAGGCGCGGGUGACAUGAACCCCGAAACUUAUUAUUUUGAAAAAAGAAAAGGAAUAGAGGAGUAAGGACGAUUUGCUAUCUCUAUCGUCUCCGCUGUCACCGUAGAGUUGACAGAGAUGAGAUGGAGAUACGCGGCAGCACUACCACCAUCACCGUGAGACGAAGAAGAAGAAGCAGAAGCAAAGGAGGGAAAAAGAGGUAAGAACAAAAGAAGAAGAAAAGACGAGGAGCCAAGAGAAGAGAGGCAGAGAAGAAAGUGAUUAGUGAGGCGACGGUGGUGCUACUACUGCCAUCGAGAGGAAGUUGAGAGAACAUAAAAGAGAGAGAGAGGAUCGGCGGCUAGGGUUUAGAGAGUUGUG